AAAAUGUGAAGAUCAAGAACAGCAGUAGCAAGAAACAAAUAAGAUGGCGGUGGUGUGCUCACAAAACGGCGGAGGGAAACCGAAACGCGACAACAUAAGAGUUAUAGAGGCAUAAGAAUGAGAUAACACAUUGCUAAAGCAUCAGCAUAUUAUUGAUUCUCCAUCAUCUCUAACAAGCUCCAACGACGGCCAGAGAUGGCCUACAAUGAUGACGGCUAGG
Molecule: long non-coding RNA, 220 nt
Filed under: Cicer arietinum (chickpea)
Lineage: Eukaryota; Viridiplantae; Streptophyta; Magnoliopsida; Fabales; Fabaceae
Description: long non-coding RNA (CARI_LNC002689)
Source: RNAcentral